UUUUUUCUCGAAAGUAAAAGAUCUAAAUAAGUUUGUUAGUUUUUGUGUCAAAAAAAUUAAGUAGGCUUUUUUAGGUGUGAGAUGCUAAUCGUUUUUACUAAUAUCUGGUAACUUUAGAAAGAAAUUUAGUUUGGGUUAUAAAAAGGGUCUUUUUAUUAUAAAGAAGUCUUUUAUAUAAACUUAUAUUCUAGGGGAUGAGCUCUAGAAUAAAUUUAAAAGGAAAGAAAAUUUUACGUUUUUGGUAGGCUUAGAAUUUGUCACGAGAUAGUGUUAUAAGAUAGAAUAGAAAGGUUAAGAUUUAGUUUUCUUUGGAGUUUAUAAAGUUAAUAUAAUAACGGUAAAGUUGUUGAAAAUAUGAUAGUAUAAGUAGAUAAAGAAAUUUUGGAGAAGAUUUGAAUUUUCCAUGGUUUUUAUGAAUUAAGGUUUUUGGCAAAAGAACUCGGCAAAUAAGAUUUCCGAAUGUUUAACAAAAACAUUUCCUCUCAGAAAGGGGAGGUAAGGCCUGCUCACUGAAUUUUGAAGAGCCGCAGUAUCCUGACUGUGCUAAGGUAGCAUAAUCAUUAGUCUUUUAAUUGGAGACUGGUAUGAAUGGCUAAACGAGAAAUCAGCUUUUUUUGCCAUAGAAAUUGAAUUUAAUUUUUUAGUGAAAAAGCUAAAAUUUUUCAGAAAGACGAGAAGACCCUAUAGAGUUUUAUAUUUUGGAAAAUUUUUUUUUAGUGGAUCUUUUUGAAAAAAAUUUCCUGGAAAUAUUUUGUUGGGGCGACAUUUAGAUAAGUGAAACUCUUUAUUUUAAAGACUUUAUUCAAAGAAUAAAUUGAUCCUUUAGAAGAGAUCAUAAGAAAAAAUUACCUUAGGGAUAACAGCGUAAUCUUUUUUGAGAGUUCUAAUCGACAAAAAGGUUUGCGACCUCGAUGUUGGACUAAAAUUUAGACA
RNAcentral lists this ribosomal RNA (933 nucleotides) under Tetraclita serrata. Its description in RNAcentral is "partial 16S ribosomal RNA". It matches the Rfam family "Bacterial large subunit ribosomal RNA", at positions 708 to 2617 of the family's 2925-position model. Lineage: Eukaryota; Metazoa; Arthropoda; Thecostraca; Balanomorpha; Tetraclitidae. The record is from RNAcentral.